This 253-nucleotide ribosomal RNA is filed under the name uncultured bacterium. RNAcentral describes it as "partial 16S ribosomal RNA". It matches the Rfam family "Bacterial small subunit ribosomal RNA", at positions 524 to 776 of the family's 1533-position model. The record is from RNAcentral.
UACGUAGGGUCCGAGCGUUGUCCGGAAUUACUGGGCGUAAAGAGCUCGUAGGUGGUUUGUCGCGUUGUUCGUGAAAACUCACAGCUCAACUGUGGGCGUGCGGGCGAUACGGGCAGACUAGAGUACUGCAGGGGAGACUGGAAUUCCUGGUGUAGCGGUGGAAUGCGCAGAUAUCGGGAGGAACACCGGUGGCGAAGGCGGGUCUCUGGGCAGUAACUGACGCUGAGGAGCGAAAGCGUGGGGAGCGAACAGG